AUUUUUAUGGAGAGUUUGAUCCUGGCUCAGGAUGAACGCUGGCGGCGUGCCUAAUACAUGCAAGUCGAGCGAACGGACGAGAAGCUUGCUUC
This 92-nucleotide ribosomal RNA is filed under the name Staphylococcus aureus. RNAcentral's name for it is "partial 16S ribosomal RNA". It matches the Rfam family "Bacterial small subunit ribosomal RNA", at positions 1 to 86 of the family's 1533-position model. Lineage: Bacteria; Bacillati; Bacillota; Bacilli; Caryophanales; Staphylococcaceae. The record is from RNAcentral.